RNAcentral lists this long non-coding RNA (363 nucleotides) under Capsicum annuum. RNAcentral describes it as "long non-coding RNA (CANN_LNC019790)". The record is from RNAcentral. Lineage: Eukaryota; Viridiplantae; Streptophyta; Magnoliopsida; Solanales; Solanaceae.
UUCUUUCAGAAAGGAUGCAUUGGUUCAACAAAAAAACACCUAUUCAGCACAGUCACAUCAAUUGCGCUCAGCCUGUGCUGGACCUGCGGCCAUAGGUGACACUGUCCGAAUUCCAGUGACUAUCUGCACUGCACCUACACCCGCAGGUUGUCCAAGUGUGCGUGCAAAUCACCCUAUAGAGCGAAACAUUGUGCCUUUUACCUUGAAGGAUCGCAUCCCAUUGAGAUGUGUUGCGUAUGCGUUUGCAUGGCGUCCAAAAUGCGCCCGCACAUUGAGAAAGACAAUUCCAUCAGAUUUUUGGAUUAAAAUUUCACUUGUUCAUCAAGAUUCAAAUAAAUUUUAUCUAAAAAAUAGAUCUCAUCG